RNAcentral lists this transfer RNA (71 nucleotides) under Planctomycetaceae bacterium. RNAcentral's name for it is "tRNA-Arg". It matches the Rfam family "tRNA". From Rfam's summary of the family: Transfer RNA (tRNA) molecules are approximately 80 nucleotides in length. Their secondary structure includes four short double-helical elements and three loops (D, anti-codon, and T loops). Further hydrogen bonds mediate the characteristic L-shaped molecular structure. tRNAs have two regions of fundamental functional importance: the anti-codon, which is responsible for specific mRNA codon recognition, and the 3' end, to which the tRNAs corresponding amino acid is attached (by aminoacyl-tRNA synthetases). tRNAs cope with the degeneracy of the genetic code in two manners: having more than one tRNA (with a specific anti-codon) for a particular amino acid; and 'wobble' base-pairing, i.e. permitting non-standard base-pairing at the 3rd anti-codon position. Lineage: Bacteria; Pseudomonadati; Planctomycetota; Planctomycetia; Planctomycetales; Planctomycetaceae. The record is from RNAcentral.
GCGCCUGUAGCUCAGGGGAUAGANNCGGUUUCCUAAACCGUAGGUCGCAGGUUCGAUUCCUGCCAGGCGUA